UGGGGACCGAAGGCACUGUGCCGCUCCGUUCAGGUAUUACACACUGAGAAAUGUCUGCGUUAGUUCUCCGUAGCUCCCUGCAAAGUCAGCCAGUGCAGAUGAGAGGAGAGAAGCCCUGCCAUGGCACAGCCAUCUCUACGAGGUUUUAGCCGAAGCCUGGCGUGAUCGCAGCAUCUAGGGACCUGUGGUUACCAAUCAAUUGGUACAAUAGAGCAGAGCCAGACUGCAAUAGCGUGCAGAUCAGACGUCUCGCCUUGUUUCUAGAUAACUGGGAGCCUCUGUACCAUGUCAUAUCCUCAGUUUGGCUACCCUUACUCCUCUGCACCCCAGUUCCUGAUGAGUACCAACUCCCUGACGACCUGCUGCGAGUCCAGCGGCCG
RNAcentral lists this long non-coding RNA (380 nucleotides) under Columba livia (rock pigeon). RNAcentral's name for it is "partial uncharacterized LOC106145880". Lineage: Eukaryota; Metazoa; Chordata; Aves; Columbiformes; Columbidae. The record is from RNAcentral.